RNAcentral lists this ribosomal RNA (214 nucleotides) under uncultured bacterium. RNAcentral describes it as "partial 16S ribosomal RNA". It matches the Rfam family "Bacterial small subunit ribosomal RNA", at positions 118 to 332 of the family's 1533-position model. The record is from RNAcentral.
UGAGCAAUCUGCCCUUCUCAUCGGAAUAACCAUUGGAAACGAUGGCUAAUACCGAAUAUGACUUCGGAUCGCAUGAUCUGAAGUGGAAAGCUCCGGCGGUGAAGGAUGAGCUCGCGGCCUAUCAGCUUGUUGGUGAGGUAAUAGCUCACCAAGGCGAUGACGGGUAGCCGGCCUGAGAGGGUGACCGGCCACACGUGGGACUGAGACACCGGCA